AAGAUUAAUUUUUUAGGCUUCUAACCUAAUAUAAAUGAUUUAUCAUUUAAUCUUU
Molecule: transfer RNA, 55 nt
Filed under: Bothriocroton undatum (goanna tick)
Lineage: Eukaryota; Metazoa; Arthropoda; Arachnida; Ixodida; Ixodidae
Description: tRNA-Ser
Source: RNAcentral